CUUGUUUUCCUUACAUUCUACUUUUCUUGUCAUUUUCAUCAACAUUUACAUCAGCUCAAGAUCCUACACACAACUUCCUUCAGUGCCUUAAUCAUCACUCUCAUGACAUCUCCGAAUCCGUCUACACCCGAAAGAACACUAAUUUCUCCGAAACACUGCUCUACUCCAUUAAUAAUUUGCGUUUUGCAAAGCCUGAUACGCCCAAACCUCUGGUCAUUAUCAGGGCAGUGAGUGAAUCCCAGAUCCAAUCCGUGAUUUACUGCUCCAAGAAGCAUCAUUUGGACAUGAGAAUUCGGAGNACACGGGAAUUUCUUGAAAANCUUUCUUAUGUGUCCCCACUCCCAUUCGUCAUACUUGAUCUCGUCAACUUCAAAUCAUUCAGUGCCGAUACUAAAACCAACACUGCAUGGAUUGGCUCCGGUCUCACCAACGGGGAGCUUUAUUACAAGAUUGGCGAGACGAGUGGCACACUUGGAUUUCCAUCUGGUUUAUUUGCAAAUGUGGGUGUUGGAGGCAUUCUAAGCGGAGGGGGUUACGGCAUGAUGAUGCGAAAGCACGGCCUGGCUGCUGACCACGUGAUCGAUGCUCGCCUCAUCGACUCAAACGGAAGAAUUCUCGAUAGAAAAGCCAUGGGAGAAGAUUGGUUCUGGGCUAUUAGAGGAGGUGGUGGUGGAAGCUUUGGAGUUGUUAUUUCCUGGAAAGUUAGAUUACUUCCUGUGCCUAAAAAAGUGACCGUUUACAAAGUCUACAGAACAAUUGAACAAAAUCUCACCAGCAUUUUCCAUCGCUACCAAUCGGUUGCACCCAAGUUCCCGAAAGAGCUCAUGAUCAAGGCCGAUGGACAAAGCAUUGUCAGCAACAUCAGUCGUCGAGCGGAUAAGAGGACAAUAAUAUUCUUGUUCGAGGCCUUAUACCUAGGCAGCGCAGAUAAGAUGCUCUCCGUGAUGCAAGGCCAAUUCCCUGAGCUUGGCGUGGUAAGAGAGGACUGUUUUGAAGUGAGCUGGCUCCAGGCCAUGGUGUACUUCUCAGGUUUCGACUUGUUCACGCCUCCUGAAAUAUUGCUGAACCUCACUGUGUUGCCUCGGCCGGCUUUCAAAUCAAAUAAUGACUACACUGAAGUGCCUAUUCCGGUACAAGGGCUAGAAGGUCUGUGGGAUCUGAUGUACAAACUUCCUCCAACGAAAGCGACUUUACAGUUUACACCUUAUGGCGGAAGAAUGGAUGAAAUUUCAGAAUCUGCACUCCCGUUCCCUUAUAGAGCUGGAACCUUGCUUAAGUUCAACAGGUACGCAGAAACGGAUACAGAUGAAGCUGAACGCAUGGAAUGGAUCAAGACUUUAGCAAGAUUUUUGACUCCUUAUGUUACCAAGAAUCCGAGAAGUGCAUAUGUUAAUUAUGUGGACUUGACGAUGGGGAGUAAUAAUCUCAAAGGUGCCACAAGCUACCAGCAGGCGAGUAGAUGGGGGAAACGAUACUUCAAGAAUAAUUUUGACAGAUUGGUUAAAAUUAAAUCGGCUGUGGAUCCUGAUAACUUCUUCAGACAUGAGCAAAGUAUUCCUCCCAUCUCGGUUUGAAAAUAUAAGAACUAGUUAGAAUCAACCACAACAUGUAUGUAUGAUUUUGUUUUUCUGUAACUUGCAUUAAUUAAAAAGCAAUUAUUUUGAUGUUAUAUGUCUCUAAUAUGACUGCAGCGCGCGAAAUUGAAAUCUUUUUAUGAAAUUAAAAAGAUUGUGAAAUUAUGUGAGGGCAAUCAGAAGAUUGAGACCGACAAAGGGUGACGUUGUUGUCCUCCAAAUAUAUUUUAAUUAUGUAUAGUCAAUACUCCUUCCGUCAAUUUAUGGGUCCCUUUUGAAAAAAACUCGCAUAUUAAGAAAAUAGUUGGUUAAAUAUAAUUUUAUCUCAUGUAUCAAUAAUUAGUACUAUAUUGAUAAAGGAGAAUAGAGUUGAGUUCCAAAAAAAUCACAAAAAAUAUAGAGAUUUAGUGCAUUGAGAAAUGAGAAUAAUGUUGAGUUUCAAAAAACUCAUAAUUAAUAUAGAGAAAAUUUGUAUUGAAAAAAGAGUGGGACAAGUAUUUUGAGACAAAUUUUUUUUCUUCAAAAAGGACAUAUAAAUUGAGACGGAGAGAGUAGACUCCAAUUUCUGCUACUCAAUUGACCUUAAUGAUGAAAAUAGGAUAAAAAAUCUAUUUUAACCUGAUGCACGGUCUAGAGCAGCAUAUAAAGAGUUUGGAGAUGUUAAAAGCCUGCCCAAAACAAGAGAAGAAUAUACUGUAAUACUAUCGCAUUUCAAAUGUGUGUUAAUUCUCCAAGGACUUUGUCUCAGUGUUUUUGAUUUUGUUAAAAAAUAUGACAAGAAUUAAAGGAGAAUGUGCAUGAAGAUGAAGACAUGACCUGUACCACACGUAACAAAAGAGUUGCUCAAGUCACUCAGUUUUGAGUUUUGUGAUCACCCGUUCACAAUGUGUUGAAUCGCAGUUACUCAAUUAUUUUGAAGAAACGCCCAAUAAUCGGCCAGCUAGCCACAAGAGUCGAGACUUGCUCAAAGUCUAACAAUUGAUAAUGAUAUUAUUACCUUUUAUGUCAACGAUCGUUCUUGAAAAACAUAUUCUCAUGUCUCUUUCUAAUAAUUGGGCAUAUAGCGUCUUUCUUUCACUCUUAUAUAUAUAGAAGAGACCAUUUAUAUUUAAAAUAGAUGCUAGUUACCACGAAGGACAAAUAUAUAAAUAAAAUAGUUCAGAAACUUUUGAUGAUGUUUAGAAAAGAAGGGCAUAAAUAAAAUUGAUAAUUCUUUUUUUUGAAGAAAAAUUGAUAAUUCUUUUGAUUACAUUUUAUAAGAACUCUAUUGCUAAAAGAUAUUUGCCUGGUCUUUCUCGUCGUACAUACAUUUUUAACAAAACAUUUUCAGAUUUGUAUUAACAACGCUGUUUUUAACUAACAAACACGUAUUUUUGGCUUACAAAAUUUCAUUACAAUUUUUUCUAGAUAAAUUUCUGAUGACUUCUCAAAAAUCAUGAAUCAAAUUAUUUUAUUAUCAUGUGCCUGUUUGGCAAGGCGGGAGAAACAUUUCUUUUUCAAAGAAGUUGGCUUCGGCUUUUUGUGACCCCUUGGUGUAAAAACGUAUAAGCACUUUUUAGAAUUUGCAAAUGAUAGCUUUUGUCUGAGAGGUUCAAUUCUUUUCCAGACAGUUUAAUCAUUUAUAAGCCUUAACUUGUUUUUUAAAUUUUACUUCAUUUUUUUAUAUUAAUCAAGAAAAAUUUAUUUUAAUCUCAUUCAGACGGUCUCAGUAUAUAAACUAUAAUUUGUUCAAUCACCUGACUUGAUCUAUCAUCGUAGGAUAUACAAUUUUAAAUAGAUAUAUAAUUAAGUUAAAAUUUUGGACAUAAUUGAAGACAUGCUACAGUCUAACAAAUUAGCGUGUGCAGUCUGAAGAAAGAAAUGAUAGUUUGGUUUUGCAAGAAACUGUUGCUUGACCUAGCAAAUUAAAAAACAAACAAAUUGUUGCAUGACCUUUUCAAAACUCAAAGAUUUAUUAUGCAUUCAAUGUCGAAGCUGUCAACGGUCUCCCAUUUGUGUAUUAUUAGUACCACUAGGGCCGAAUGAAGCCUAUAAAUAUCAUGCAAUCUCAUCAUUCUAUCCAUAUCCAACACUAUCAACAUUCAAUACCAUCAAAUUCUUUACAAACAAUAUCCAAGAUUAUGAAGAUAGCUGAAAUCACUACUUGUUUUUCUUACAUUCUACUUUUCUUAUCAUUUUCAUCGACUUUUUCAUCAGCUCAAGAUCCUACACAGAGCUUCCUUCAGUGCCUUAAUCAUCAUUCUCGUGACAUCUCCGAGUUUUCCUACACCCUAAAGAAUACUAAUUUCUCCCAAACACUGCUCUACUCCAUUAACAAUUUGCGUUUUGCAAAGCCUGAUACGCCUAAACCUCUGGUCAUCAUCAGGGCAGUGAGUGAAUC
RNAcentral lists this long non-coding RNA (3954 nucleotides) under Daucus carota (carrot). Its description in RNAcentral is "long non-coding RNA (DCAR_LNC000593)". The record is from RNAcentral. Lineage: Eukaryota; Viridiplantae; Streptophyta; Magnoliopsida; Apiales; Apiaceae.